CUUUUUUUUUUUUUUUUUUUUUUAAGACAGAGUUUCGCUCUUGUUGCCCAGGCUGGAGUGCAAUGGCACCUUCUCAGCUCACCAUGACCUCUGCCUCCCAGGUUCAAGAGAUUCUCCUGCCUCAGCUUCCCAAGUAGCUGAGAUUACAGGGUUGCGCCACCACGCCUGGCUAAUUUUGUAUUUUUAGUAGAGACAGGGUUUCUCCAUGUUGGUCAGGCUGGUCUCAAACUCCCGACCUCAGGUGACCUGCCCACCCCGGCCUCCCAAAGUAUUGGGAUUACAGGCAUGAGCCACUGUGCCUGGCCAAUAGUAAUUUUAAACAACAGCCAAGGAAGCUAGAGCUACAAACUCUUUCGUUCCCUAUAGAAACUAAAGGUAACAUCUUCACAUAUGUCUUUGAGUUGUUUUUUAUAAACCUGGACCCCCAGCAAAUGGAAAAUGCCAUCUGCCGGCCUGUAGACCUCAGAUAAGGGGGAACAAGGACUGAACUCUGCCUGCCACUUAUUCUAAAUUUCUUCCUGAGGUGCCCAGAGGAAGUCAUGCCCACAGGCCAGAGCUCAACAUUCCUUUUGACUGACCCCAAGUUUUUAAACAAAGCUUAAUCAAUCACAAGUCAGGAAAUCUUUGAAUUCACCUAUGACCUUUAGUCCUCCCAACCCCGUUUCAGGAUGUCCUGCCUUUUUUAGGCCAAGCCAAUGUAUAGCUUCAUUUUGUUGAUUGAUGACUUUGCCUGUAACCUCUGCCUUCCUGUCUAUAUUAGGCAGUUCUUGCAUUGCUAUAAAGUAAUACCUGUGACUGGUAAUUUAUAAAGAAAAGAGGUUUAAUUGGUUCACAGUUCUGCAGGCUGUGCAGGAAGCAUGAUGCUGGCAUCUGCUUGGCUUCUCAGGUGGCCUCAGGAAGCUUACAGUCAUGGUGGAAUGUGAAAGGGGGGCAGGUACCUCACAUGGCAAAAGCAGGAGAGAGAGAGAGAGAGAGAUUGAGAGAGAGGGAUUGGUGGGGGUAGGUGCCACACACCAUUAAAGAACCAGAUCUCAUGUGAACUCAGGGCGAGAGCUCACUCAGCACCAAGGGGAUGGCCCAAGCCAUUCAUGAGAAAUCUACCCCUACAAUCCAGUCACCUCCCACCAGGCCCCACCUCCAAUACCUGGGAUUAUAAUUCAACAUGAGAUUUGGGCAGGGAGAAAUAUACAAACUAUAUCACUGCCUUAGAAAAACCCUUAUCUGUCAGCCAGUGGGGAGUUCUGGUGUUAAGCAUGAGCUGCCCAAUUCUCCUUGCUUGGCGCUUUGCAAUAAAUGCCUCACUUUUUCUUGCCGUAAAUCCUGAUAUCAGUGUUUGGCUUUGCUGUGCCAGGUAGCUGGGCCCAAGUUCUGUUUGGCAAUAUUCUCAUCUGGUUCCUUCCUCUCGUGCUCAACACCUCGCAGUGGCUUCCAUUCCACGUGGAGUAAAAGCCAAAGCUCCCCUAUGCACCUCUCUGACCUACCCCCAAUCAUGCCCUCUCCUCAGCCCCUCCUCUCCAGCCACCCUACCCUCCUGCUGGUUCCUGAACACCUUUGGCAGGCUCCCACCUCAGGGUUCAGGACCUACUCUUAUUUCCCUGAGCUUUCCUCCGCACACACCCACCCCUACAUUUCUCUAUUUACCCGAGUCCCCAUCACCAUCUAGGAGACUGUAUGUUUUACUUGCAGAUUACAUUUAGUGCUUAAUCCAUGGCUCUCCCUGCUAGUGAUGUCGCUGUGGUCUUUUAUUUGCUGAUGUAUCUCCAGUGUUUAGAUCAGUGCCUGGUACAAAGUAGAUGCUCAAUAAAUAUUUGCUGAGUGAAUGAGUGACUUUUGUGACUUCAUCAAUCAUCUUUGAAUUAAUCUGGGACCUGGAAUCUUAUGAGCUCAAGAACAUGGCUGGGAGAGGCCUGGGAUCAUGAGCAUUCUUUAGGCACCACCUCCACUACUGCGGGUGGAGCCCAGGUACUCGGCCUAUGUUUUGGCACUGUUGUUUAAGUAAGCUCACAGCAAGCUAAUUGUAGGGACAUUCCCUGUCAACUGCUGGCCUGGCCACAGGACUCCUCAUGGCUGUUCUCAAGGUAGAGGGCUUAGGUUCCAGCCUUUUUUAGGUUCCCAUGCAGCUGUGUCCAUCUGGGGUCUGGUCACCUCUGGGAGGCUCCUGUCAGAGACCUACAAUAUGGAGAAGGGAGGAGCCCUGUUUCCUGGAGGAGGAAGGGCCCCCAGGCCUGUCCCUCUCAGCCUGGCUGCUGUGAGAAUCCCCCAGAGACUUAAAAAAAUAACCUGUCUGGGCCCCACCGUAGGCCAAAUGAAAUUGGAAUCUCUGGGGAUAGAGCCUGGUAAUAGGUAUGUAUUUCAACUUUCUAGAUUAUUUUAAAUGCAGCCAGGAUUCACAUCAAGUGUCCUAGGACAAAGGCCUCCUGGGAGAAAACACAUGUCCUUCUUCUCCUCCCAAAGGCAGCCAGAAAGGAUAAAGAAAUGAGCAAACAAGGCACUAAUUUCUUCAUUUCUCAAUGUCUAAGCCUGUUGUCGAAAAGAUGCAGAAGAUACCAUUUUGCUUAUUUCCUUAAUUAAAUCCUUAGGUUAAAAUUUUAGAUUUGAAGUUACAGGAUAUUUUGAGACUUAAAAAAAAAGUCACAAUUUCACUAGAAGUGAAAAAGGUUGUGAUUAUUUGGGCCCUUUCAAUUCUGGAAAUUUUCAGUUUAAAAAUCUUUCUCCAUUUGGUAGAUGAACAUGUAGUUUUUCAUGUCUGCGAUACAUAUUUCUUGAGUGUUUCCUAUAUGCCAUUACUCCAUUGGACAGUG
Molecule: long non-coding RNA, 2801 nt
Filed under: Homo sapiens (human)
Lineage: Eukaryota; Metazoa; Chordata; Mammalia; Primates; Hominidae
Description: HSALNT0340251
Source: RNAcentral